CUACGGAGGGUGCAAGCGUUAUUCGGAAUCACUGGGCGUAAAGGACGCGUAGGCGGGUUGGCAAGUCAGAUGUGAAAUCCUACAGCUUAACUGUAGAACUGCAUUUGAAACUGCUAACCUAGAGUAUGAGAGGGGGAGAUGGAAUUAGUGGUGUAGGGGUAAAAUCCGUAGAUAUCACUAGGAAUACCGAAAGCGAAGGCGAUCUCCUGGAACAUAACUGACGCUAAGGCGUGAAAGCGUGGGGAGCAAACAGAAUUAGAAACCCCAGUAGUCC
RNAcentral lists this ribosomal RNA (274 nucleotides) under uncultured bacterium. Its description in RNAcentral is "partial 16S ribosomal RNA". It matches the Rfam family "Bacterial small subunit ribosomal RNA", at positions 523 to 796 of the family's 1533-position model. The record is from RNAcentral.